Molecule: unclassified non-coding RNA, 272 nt
Filed under: Hevea brasiliensis (rubber tree)
Lineage: Eukaryota; Viridiplantae; Streptophyta; Magnoliopsida; Malpighiales; Euphorbiaceae
Source: RNAcentral
AAUACGCACAAGGAGCCCACAGUAAAAUGAAAAAAGAAUAUGUGUCAGAAAAGCAGCAACACAAUUCAAAGCUGAUAAGAGCAAUUACGUAUCACUCUAUGGUUGGACAGCUACCGCGCACUGCACAACCAGACAAGGACAGCUUGAUUGCCAGAUUUAUUAAUAGUAUGUUUAAGUUCGCAAUUUUAUUAUUAAAAUAUUAUUUUAUUUUGAUUUUCGGAAAAGUAUUGGGAAGCACAUGUGUAUCUGGCUGGUGACGUGGCCACAAGAGA